Molecule: ribosomal RNA, 422 nt
Filed under: uncultured bacterium
Lineage: Bacteria
Description: bacterial SSU rRNA
Rfam family: Bacterial small subunit ribosomal RNA
Source: RNAcentral
UAAGGAAUAUUGGUCAAUGGACGCAAGUCUGAACCAGCCAUGCCGCGUGGAGGAUGAAGGUCCUCUGGAUUGUAAACUUCUUUUAUCUGGGACGAAACACUUCUUUUCUAAGAGGCCUGACGGUACCAGAUGAAUAAGCACCGGCUAACUCCGUGCCAGCAGCCGCGGUAAUACGGAGGGUGCAAGCGUUAUCCGGAUUCACUGGGUUUAAAGGGUGCGUAGGUGGGUAUGUAAGUCAGUGGUGAAAUCCCCGAGCUUAACUUGGGAACUGCCAUUGAUACUAUAUAUCUUGAAUACCGUAGAGNUAAGCGGAAUAUGUCAUGUAGCGGUGAAAUGCUUAGAUAUGACAUGGAACACCAAUUGCGAAGGCAGCUUACUAUGCGGUGAUUGACACUGAGGCACGAAAGCGUGGGUGGCAAACA